UCAUUAUCGGUGUCGCGCGCCUGUGCAUUCUUUUUCUCUCUCUGGUUGUUGAGCUGGAGUAACUCCAGAUAUACGAACCCUGCUAUUAUUUCUUGUUGUGACAAAUCUGACACUGAGUUUCAAAAUUCUGGUUUUCACAAGAUCUUGAGUUUCAACUGGCUUUUCUGAAGAGUAUUUGACAGCAAUAGUAACAACACUGGAAACAAACCUCAGUUCUGCUGAAACCAGACCCCUGCUGUGCCUUCCUACAAGAGCCAGGCUGUCUCUCAUAAAUUCUCCAGAGCAAAGCUUGGAACCAAUUUCUCCCUCAACUCCCAGCGACCUGCUUCUUCCUUCCACUUCUCUGGGAAUCAGGCAGUGUGAGCCCAAAAGCAAAAUGAAGGUGUCUCAUUUAGAGCUCCUUUCCAAUCAGGAAGAGUUGGGUUUGAAUCUCACUUCCUAACUAGGCAAAUCACGUAACCUCUCUGACCUUCCUCUUUGAAAAGCUGUUGAUAAAUAUCUAUUUCAUAGUGUGGCUGGUUGGAGAAGGUAGCGUUGGCAACGCAUUUGGCCCACUGUUGAACACUUAGUAAUGCUCGGUCAAUGGCAAAUAUUAUUAGGAGUAUUCACUUUAUGCUCUUCUACUGUCCGGAAAGGUUGACACAGAAAUCCCAACCGUCUUGCAAGUGAUGUGUACCAGCCAUACCCACAUCUUUCCCCCGCCCACUCUGCCACAUGGCGCAACAUGAGAGAAGGCCCAGUUAGGCAGGGCCCCCUCCCUGGCAUUUCGUGACAAUGGGUGGCUUGUGGCUGAGGGGAUUUGGGGUCUAAAGUUUCAGAGCUGCGCAGACUGCUGCCCCCUUAGCUGUCCCUGCAGGGACAGCAGGCAAGUAUGAUGUUAAAAAAAAAAA
Vicugna pacos (alpaca) is the source of this 890-nucleotide non-coding RNA. NCBI's taxonomy places the organism in Eukaryota, Metazoa, Chordata, Mammalia, Artiodactyla, Camelidae. The record is from RefSeq and is a predicted model, not a curated record.